GAGUGGCUGCCACCCGUACGACCAACCAGGGCCGGGGACAAACUGCAACCGAGACACAGGGGGACAGGAAGUGGUGGCCUACAGUUUCACUGGGCUGGGAGAUAUGAGGAUCCCAGAGAAGAGAGAACUGCAGAGGAGGGACCCCAACAGUCAGCGUCUGUUUCCCCCCUGGGGACACUUGCUGUUCCUACAUUUAUCAUGUGCAGGAGGAGAGGCUGAGAAAACAAGGAGCAGCAUCUGGGAGUCUAAAAAGCCUUUUAGAAAGAUGAACAGCUGGACAUCUACCUCCACACAGUUUCUGGCACCCCUGGACUUGAGUGUGACUGGUGAGUGCGUGCAAGGCCACUGUCACAUACAAAUCAAAGGAUGGCAAGGUGCUGUUAGUGUCUGAACGUGCGCUUCCAUACACAGGGAUCUUACUUUGGUCAUUCCUAUUCAGCCUUCAGUGCCAGCUAAGAUGACUUCCUAGAGGAAAUCGUGUUUUAUGUGCUCCUAGAGUGCUCCUGCCCUCUCGUCGUGCUUACCAGACUCUGCGGUGAUCGUCCACUUCCUCGGUUUCAUCCUCCCUCUAAGGCCCA
Molecule: long non-coding RNA, 578 nt
Organism: Molossus molossus (Pallas's mastiff bat)
Lineage: Eukaryota; Metazoa; Chordata; Mammalia; Chiroptera; Molossidae
Exons: 4
Source: RefSeq, a predicted model, not a curated record